CUCAAUGAAAUUUAAAUAGCCGCAAUAUAUAUUGUGCUAAGGUAGCAUAAUCAUUUGUCUUUUAAUUAAAGACUCGUAUAAAAGAUUUAACAUUUUUAUUUCUUUCUCAAUUAUAUCUAUUUAAUUUAUCUUAAAUAUUAAAAGAUAUUUAUAAUAAAAAAAGACGACAAGACCCUAUUGAAUUUAACUAAAGUUCAACUGGGGCAGUUAAUUAAAUAUAAUUUUAAUUUAAAUUUUAAUAACACCUAAUAUAAUUAAAUAUAUCAAAUUACCAUAGGGAUAACAGCGUAAUAAUUUUUCAUAGCUCUUAUUUAAAAAACAAUUUACGACCUCGAUGUUGAAUUAAUAAUCUUUUAAAUGCAAUAAUUAAUAAGAAAGUC
RNAcentral lists this ribosomal RNA (380 nucleotides) under Inermocoelotes karlinskii. RNAcentral's name for it is "partial 16S ribosomal RNA". Lineage: Eukaryota; Metazoa; Arthropoda; Arachnida; Araneae; Agelenidae. The record is from RNAcentral.